This 256-nucleotide ribosomal RNA is filed under the name uncultured bacterium. RNAcentral's name for it is "partial 16S ribosomal RNA". It matches the Rfam family "Bacterial small subunit ribosomal RNA", at positions 98 to 354 of the family's 1533-position model. The record is from RNAcentral.
CGGGACGGGUGAGUAACGCGUGGAUAACCUGCCCCAUACCGGGGGAUAACAGCCGGAAACGGCUGCUAAUACCGCAUAAGCGCACGAGGCUGCAUGGCCCUGUGUGAAAAACUCCGGUGGUAUGGGAUGGAUCCGCGUCUGAUUAGCUAGUUGGUGAGAUAAAAGCCCACCAAGGCGACGAUCAGUAGCCGACCUGAGAGGGUGGCCGGCCACAUUGGGACUGAGACACGGCCCAGACUCCUACGGAAGGCAGCAG